GCACAAGCGGUGGAGUAUGUGGUUUAAUUCGAUGCAACGCGAAGAACCUUACCUGGUCUUGACAUCCACGGAAGUUUUCAGAGAUGAGGAUGUGCCUUCGGGAACCGUGAGACAGGUGCUGCAUGGCCGUCGUCAGCUCGUGUUGUGAAAUGUUGGGUUAAGUCCCGCAACGAGCGCAACCCUUAUCCUUUGUUGCCAGCGGUCCGGCCGGGAACUCAAAGGAGACUGCCAGUGAUAAGCCGGAGGAAGGUGGGGAUGACGUCAAAUCAUCAUGCCCCUUAUGACCUGGGCUACACACGUGCUACAAUGGUUGGUACAACGAGUUGCGAGUCGGUGACGGCGAGCUAAUCUCUUAAAGCCAAUCUCAGUUCGGAUUGUAGGCUGCAACUCGCCUACAUGAAGUCGGAAUCGCUAGUAAUCGCGGAUCAGCACGCCGCGGUGAAUACGUUCCCGGGCCUU
This 459-nucleotide ribosomal RNA is filed under the name uncultured Enterobacteriaceae bacterium. RNAcentral describes it as "bacterial SSU rRNA". It matches the Rfam family "Bacterial small subunit ribosomal RNA", at positions 923 to 1382 of the family's 1533-position model. Lineage: Bacteria; Pseudomonadati; Pseudomonadota; Gammaproteobacteria; Enterobacterales; Enterobacteriaceae. The record is from RNAcentral.